UGCUUAUACCCAUUGCCAAUUCUGCUUGCAGGUUUACAGAGGGUUCCCAGAUGCCGUCAGUGGAAUUCCCAACCUUGGAGGACAGAGAAAUUGCUCUCCAAUAAUGCCCAGUCUAAGAAGUAAUGUUUUCACGAAGAACUAGUGCACCUUCAGAAGACCUGCAGUGGAUAGGGAGUAUGUAAGGGGCUAAUUUUGAUGCCAGCAACCCUAGGAUUGGUUGCUGGGGAAAGGCAUAGAGUUCUAGGUGCAAUGUUUUAAGGGGAAGACUUACACUAUGAAGCUAGCCCAGAAGAGGGUGACUAGAGUACUGAGGAGUUUCUACCUGGAAGGGCUGUAAGACAACUGCUAUGUUGUGAGCGGCUCUAUGGAGAGGCCCAUGUGGAGGGAAGUGAGGAAGGCCUCUGGCCAACAGUCCAGGAGGAAGUGAAGCCCUCAGUCCAACAGCCUGUGUGGAACUGAACCCUGCAAACAACUCUGUGUGUGAGCUUGGAAGUGGAUCCAUAUUCAGUCAAACCUUGAGAUGGGACACCAUGCUCUGCUAACACUUGAUUGUGGUCCCAGCUAGGCCACUGCUGAAGUCUUGACUCAGAGAAACGAUGAUAUAGUAAAUGUUUGUUGUUUCAAGUUGGUAAGUUUUGGGAUAAUUUUUUAUAUAGUGAUAAUUUUUUAUAUACUUUAAAAUAACACAUUGCCCUAUCCUUUGGUUACACUUUUCUCUUGGAACUCUGCUUGCCCAUAUAUUACAGAAAUAUUUUUCAGAUCAUGGGCUGAAAGGUGGAUUAUGGAUGCAAUGUUUAAAUUUAGCAAUGUCAUUUAUGACUGUUCAUAUGAGCUUUGCUGCAUAAAAUGUUGAUAUUAAUUUGUUUCCCUUUAAGACAUUCUUAAUGUUUACCUCUCAGUAUUUUCUUUGUAAUCAAUUAAUGUAAGAUGAAUAUAGUUUGUAGGUUUUACCUUUCUUGAUUCGUAUACAAAACACACAACAUCCAACCAUUGUUAUUUAAAGAUUAUCUAGGAGGAGAUGAUGGAAACUCUGUUUUGGGCCACCUUCUUUACACAUUGGGUCUAUUUCCCCUAACUUGAGUAUAUAUUAAACUAGUGGGGGAUUGAGCUACAAAAAUGCUACUUGGUGAGAAUUUUAUUAAUACAAAUACUCAACUCUGAAGUUACGUUUUUGUGGAAAGUUAUCACUUUGGAAUUUGAAUUUUCUUGGAGCUAAGCCACUGGUAGUUGUAAAAGCUACACCUGUAAAUUUGCUCCCUAGAAGAUACUUUCGUUUAGUGACCACUUGUUUCUCUGUGGAUAAAUUCAAUUAUAAAUUACAA
Homo sapiens (human) is the source of this 1322-nucleotide long non-coding RNA. RefSeq annotates it as long independently transcribed non-coding RNA 2351. NCBI's taxonomy places the organism in Eukaryota, Metazoa, Chordata, Mammalia, Primates, Hominidae. The transcript is spliced from 3 exons. The record is from RefSeq and is marked validated.